CUUCUGCACUACUGUAAAACAAUAAAUUUAAAAUUAGCUCAAGACUGCAGAAAUUAUUUUAUUUGACAAACCUUUUCAACCCUCCUUCAGGGCCAUCAUAAGGUCUAAUGCAGAAAGGUGUCCCUAUUGGAAGCAGGAAAGCAGGCAAAUUAGCUGAAUUAGUGAUCAGGUUCAAGGAAGAAAAUGUAAUAUCAAGAUUCAUGACAAAAAUAAAAUUAUAUAGAAGAUAGAUGAUAUUUGUGUAAUAUGGGAAAAACAAGAAGAUUCAAAAGCUCUAGAAGAAUGUAUGUCAGACAAUUCACUAGGAUUUUCCAUCUAAAAUUGGAUCAAGCAAGCACUAGGAAGAUAAAUUUCUUAGACAUUCAAAUAGAAGUAAAAGAAGCCUUGUAUAAAACUAAAAUAUACUGCAAAUCAAUCUACGUACCAUUAUUUGUACCAAGCAUGUCAACAAUCAAAUUGACUCAAAGCAUCAGCCUUUACAGCCCUUUUUAGAAGAACCUUUGUAUAUUGCAAUACAAGAACAGAUAGACAAAAUAUUCUCAAAAGAAGAAAACACAGAUAGUAACAGUUUUUUGAAGAAAAAAACACUAUCUUUCAUAACAAAAAGCUUGAAUUCAAAGAACCUCACCAGAAGGAGUCAAGUAUAGAAGUGUCGACUAUCAACCACAUUUACAAACUGUUUAUAGAGAUAUAGAAAACAUUAUACAUUUUAAGCUAGAAAAAGAAAAGUACUGUAUUUUCGUUACUUAGAAAUGAUAAUGACACAUGGAGAAGAAAAAAAAGUUUAUUUAAGGUAUUAGACCUGAUGAUGCCCGAAGGAGGGUUGAAAAUAAUUUUUAUAGUCUUGAACUAAUUUUAAAUUUACUGUUUUACAUGUUACUGGAUUUGUGUAUUUUUGAUCUUAAGCAUUAUAUUACUUAUAUCUUUCCAUGCAAUGUUUUCUGUUUUUUGAAACAAGAUCCCAUAAUGUAUAACCAUACGUAAGCCGAAUAAGCACUAACUCCCCCUGGUGAAUAAAUUUGGAAUAAACUGUAC
This 1035-nucleotide long non-coding RNA is filed under the name Androctonus crassicauda. Lineage: Eukaryota; Metazoa; Arthropoda; Arachnida; Scorpiones; Buthidae. The record is from RNAcentral.